AGUGAACGCUGGCGGCGUGCCUAAUACAUGCAAGUCGAACGGAAUUUAAAAGAGCUUGCUCUUUUAAAUUUAGUGGCGCGCGGGUGAGUAAUAUAUAGCUAAUCUGCCCCUUGCUGGAGGACAACAGUUAGAAAUGACUGCUAAUACUCCAUACUCCUUUUUACCAUAAGAUAAAUCGGGAAAGAAUUUCGGCAAGGGAUGAGACUAUAUCGUAUCAGCUAGUCGGUGGGGUAACGGCCUACCGAGGCUAUGACGCGUAACUGGUCUGAGAGGAUGAUCAGUCACAUUGGAACUGAGACACGGUCCAAACUCCUACGGGAGGCAGCAGUAGGGAAUAUUGCGCAAUGGGGGAAACCCUGACGCAGCAACGCCGCGUGGAGGAUGACACUUUUCGGAGCGUAAACUCCUUUUGUUAGGGAAGAAUAAUGACGGUACCUA
RNAcentral lists this ribosomal RNA (438 nucleotides) under Campylobacter gracilis. RNAcentral's name for it is "bacterial SSU rRNA". It matches the Rfam family "Bacterial small subunit ribosomal RNA", at positions 29 to 481 of the family's 1533-position model. Lineage: Bacteria; Pseudomonadati; Campylobacterota; Epsilonproteobacteria; Campylobacterales; Campylobacteraceae. The record is from RNAcentral.